CGCGUAGGUGGCCAAUUAAGUCAAAUGUGAAAUCCCCGAGCUUAACUUGGGAAUUGCAUUCGAUACUGGUUGGCUAGAGUAUGGGAGAGGGUGGUAGAAUUCCAGGUGUAGCGGUGAAAUGCGUAGAGAUCUGGAGGAAUACCGAUGGCGAAGGCAGCCAUCUGGCCUAAUACUGACACUGAGGUGCGAAAGCAUGGGGAGCAAACA
This 207-nucleotide ribosomal RNA is filed under the name uncultured Acinetobacter sp. RNAcentral's name for it is "partial 16S ribosomal RNA". It matches the Rfam family "Bacterial small subunit ribosomal RNA", at positions 568 to 774 of the family's 1533-position model. Lineage: Bacteria; Pseudomonadati; Pseudomonadota; Gammaproteobacteria; Moraxellales; Moraxellaceae. The record is from RNAcentral.